GACGAACGCUGGCGGCGUGCUUAACACAUGCAAGUCGAACGGAAAGGCCCUGCUUUUGUGGGGUGCUCGAGUGGCGAACGGGUGAGUAACACGUGAGUAACCUGCCCUUGACUUUGGGAUAACUUCAGGAAACUGGGGCUAAUACCGGAUAGGAGCUCCUGCUGCAUGGUGGGGGUUGGAAAGUUUCGGCGGUUGGGGAUGGACUCGCGGCUUAUCAGCUUGUUGGUGGGGUAGUGGCUUACCAAGGCUUUGACGGGUAGCCGGCCUGACAGGGUGACCGGCCACAUUGGGACUGAGAUACGGCCCAGACUCCUACGGGAGGCAGCAGUGGGGAAUAUUGCACAAUGGGCGGAAGCCUGAUGCAGCAACGCCGCGUGCGGGAUGACGGCCUUCGGGUUGUAAACCGUUUUCGCCUGUGACGAAGCGUGAGUGACGGUAAUGGGUAAAGAAGCACCGGCUAACUACGUG
This 468-nucleotide ribosomal RNA is filed under the name uncultured bacterium. RNAcentral's name for it is "partial 16S ribosomal RNA". It matches the Rfam family "Bacterial small subunit ribosomal RNA", at positions 28 to 507 of the family's 1533-position model. The record is from RNAcentral.